UGGGGAAUAUUGCACAAUGGGCGCAAGCCUGAUGCAGCCAUGCCGCGUGUAUGAAGAAGGCCUUCGGGUUGUAAAGUACUUUCAGCGGGGAGGAAGGUGUUGAGGCUAAUAACCUCAGCAAUUGACGUUACCCGCAGAAGAAGCACCGGCUAACUCCGUGCCAGCAGCCGCGGUAAUACGGAGGGUGCAAGCGUUAAUCGGAAUUACUGGGCGUAAAGCGCACGCAGGCGGUCUGUCAAGUCGGAUGUGAAAUCCCCGGGCUCAACCUGGGAACUGCAUUCGAGACUGGCAGGCUAGAGUCUUGUAGAGGGGGGUAGAAUUCCAGGUGUAGCGGUGAAAUGCGUAGAGAUCUGGAGGAAUACCGGUGGCGAAGGCGGCCCCCUGGACAAAGACUGACGCUCAGGUGCGAAAGCGUGGGGAGCAAACA
This 427-nucleotide ribosomal RNA is filed under the name uncultured bacterium. RNAcentral's name for it is "partial 16S ribosomal RNA". It matches the Rfam family "Bacterial small subunit ribosomal RNA", at positions 355 to 774 of the family's 1533-position model. The record is from RNAcentral.